UACGUAGGUGGCAAGCGUUGUCCGGAUUUAUUGGGUUUAAAGGGUGCGUAGGCGGUUUUUUAAGUCAGUGCUGAAAUACUCCAGCUUAACUGGAGAGGUGGCAUUGAUACUGGAAGACUUGAGUGUAGUUGAAGUAGGCGGAAUUGACGGUGUAGCGGUGAAAUGCUUAGAUAUCGUCAAGAACACCGAUAGUGAAGACAGCUUACUAAGCUACAACUGACGCUGAGGCACGAAAGUGUGGGGAUCAAACAGG
This 253-nucleotide ribosomal RNA is filed under the name uncultured bacterium. RNAcentral describes it as "partial 16S ribosomal RNA". It matches the Rfam family "Bacterial small subunit ribosomal RNA", at positions 524 to 776 of the family's 1533-position model. The record is from RNAcentral.